UACGUAGGGGGCGAGCGUUGUCCGGAAUUAUUGGGCGUAAAGAGCGUGUAGGCGGUUCGGUAAGUCUGCCGUGAAAACCCGCAGCUCAACUGUGGCUUGACAGCUGAUACGGGCAGGCUAGAGUUCGGUGAGGGGAGACUGGAAUUCCUGGUGUAGCGGUGAAAUGCGCAGAUAUCAGGAGGAACACCGGUGGCGAAGGCGGGUCCUCUGGGCCGAUACUGACGCUGAGGAGCGAAAGCGUGGGGAGCGAACAGG
RNAcentral lists this ribosomal RNA (255 nucleotides) under uncultured bacterium. Its description in RNAcentral is "partial 16S ribosomal RNA". It matches the Rfam family "Bacterial small subunit ribosomal RNA", at positions 524 to 776 of the family's 1533-position model. The record is from RNAcentral.